This 253-nucleotide ribosomal RNA is filed under the name uncultured bacterium. RNAcentral's name for it is "partial 16S ribosomal RNA". It matches the Rfam family "Bacterial small subunit ribosomal RNA", at positions 524 to 776 of the family's 1533-position model. The record is from RNAcentral.
UACGAAGGGGACUAGCGUUGUUCGGAAUUACUGGGCGUAAAGCGAACGUAGGCGGUGUUCCAUGUCAGAGGUGAAAGCCUGGGGCUCAACUCCAGAAUUGCCUUUGAAACGGGGACGCUUGAGUCCGAGAGAGGGUGGCGGAAUUCCUAGUGUAGAGGUGAAAUUCGUAGAUAUUAGGAAGAACACCAGUGGCGAAGGCGGCCACCUGGCUCGGUACUGACGCUCAGGUUCGAAAGCGUGGGGAGCAAACAGG